RNAcentral lists this ribosomal RNA (301 nucleotides) under uncultured bacterium. Its description in RNAcentral is "partial 16S ribosomal RNA". It matches the Rfam family "Bacterial small subunit ribosomal RNA", at positions 509 to 808 of the family's 1533-position model. The record is from RNAcentral.
CAGUAGCCGCGGGAAUACGUAGGGUGCAAGCGUUAAUCGGAAUUACUGGGCGUAAAGCGUGCGCAGGCGGUUUGUUAAGACAGAUGUGAAAUCCCCGGGCUCAACCUGGGAACUGCAUUUGUGACUGGCAGGCUAGAGUAUGGCAGAGGGGGGUGGAAUUCCGCGUGUAGCGGUGAAAUGCGUAGAUAUGCGGAGGAACACCGAUGGCGAAGGCAGCCCCCUGGGCCAAUACUGACGCUCAUGCACGAAAGCGUGGGGAGCAAACAGGAUUAGAUACCCCAGUGUCCCUGUCUCUUAUACA